AUGGUGGCCGCGCCAGCGAUUGGGAGCAGGAGGAGCGAGAUCGGCGCCCUUUCCUCAUCCGGUCGCAGAACCCCAUCGCUACCUCCUCGCAGCCGCCACGAACACCCCAAGCCUCCUGGGCCGGAAGCCGCCAGCCGCUUCAGCGGGAUCGAUACGCCGCCAUCCGCGUCGAGAAAGAUCACGGAUCGAAACCGCCAGCGCCGCCCUCUCCGAUCACCCACUCACCCGCUCGAGAUGAAGGCGUUCGUCUAG
Molecule: ribosomal RNA, 252 nt
Filed under: Triticum aestivum (bread wheat)
Lineage: Eukaryota; Viridiplantae; Streptophyta; Magnoliopsida; Poales; Poaceae
Description: partial small subunit ribosomal RNA
Source: RNAcentral